UGGCUCAGUGGUAGAGCGCUUGCCUUGCAUGCAUGAGGCCCGGGGUUGGAUUCCUCA
This 57-nucleotide transfer RNA is filed under the name Dipodomys ordii (Ord's kangaroo rat). It matches the Rfam family "tRNA", at positions 8 to 63 of the family's 71-position model. From Rfam's summary of the family: Transfer RNA (tRNA) molecules are approximately 80 nucleotides in length. Lineage: Eukaryota; Metazoa; Chordata; Mammalia; Rodentia; Heteromyidae. The record is from Rfam by way of RNAcentral.